Molecule: ribosomal RNA, 396 nt
Filed under: uncultured bacterium
Lineage: Bacteria
Description: partial 16S ribosomal RNA
Rfam family: Bacterial small subunit ribosomal RNA
Source: RNAcentral
AUACAGAGGGUGCAAGCGUUAAUCGGAUUUACUGGACGUAAAGCGCGCGUAGGUGGCUAAUUAAGUCAAAUGUGAAAUCCCCGAGCUUAACUUGGGAAUUGCAUUCGAUACUGGUUAGCUAGAGUAUGGGAGAGGAUGGUAGAAUUCCGGGUGUAGCGGUGAAAUGCGUAGAGAUCUGGAGGAAUACCGAUGGCGAAGGCAGCCAUCUGGCCUAAUACUGACACUGAGGUGCGAAAGCAUGGGGAGCAAACAGGAUUAGAUACCCUGGUAGUCCAUGCCGUAAACGAUGUCUACUAGCCGUUGGGGCCCUUGAGGCUUUAGUGGCGCAGCUAACGCGAUAAGUAGACCGCCUGGGGAGUACGGUCGCAAGACUAAAACUCAAAUGAAUUGACGGGG